AUUGUAAACGCCGGCACUUUGGUUUCUUCUGGUUUUGGCAAUUCCGGCAACUUUGGAAAAUCGAACUUGGGAAAUUCCGGCAUCUUCGGUAACUCUGGAAACGUCGGCAAUUCAGGCUUCUGAAUCUCCGGUAACUUAGGCAUCUCUGGUUUUGGAAUCUCAGGUAACUUAGGCAACUCUAGCUUCGGAAAUUCGGGUAACUUUGGCAUCUCUGGUUUAGGUAGCUCCGGAAAUGUCGGUAUCUCUGGUUUAGGUUCCUCCAAUAACCGGCGAGCUCCAACGGAUACCGGAACAGAAAGCAAUGCAAUAAGACAUAUGAUCAGAAAUGGUGAAAGUAGAGAAGCAGAGAAACUCUUCUUCAAUGUCAUUGUUUCCUUGCAAGCUUUUUAUCUUUCUUUCUUUCUUUGCUUUGUGGUGUUGUUCUUUGUUUUUGUGAUGAGCUUUGAUCUUUGAUUGAAAUGUCUAUUUAAAUGUGUCUUGUGGAAGAAGAGAGAUGGAGUUUGGUGAGAAUAACAUAUUUAGAGUUUAGAAUAUAAAAAGUUCGUUUAACUUCUCUAUCUGUAUAUCUAUAUUGUCACUUUCAAUCUAGCUGAAGUUUAGGUUUAAGUGUUGACGUGUUCAUGUGUUUGGUUUAUACGUAUUAUAGAACAUAUAUAAUCCUCGUAUGAGAAAGCACGUUAUUAUACGUUUAGCUUUUGUAAAAACUUUGGUUAAUCUUAAACUAAAAAGUAAAUUUUAGAGAUGGAAAGACAGAGUAUUACAGAGCAUAACAGAGCAUUAGGGCAGAGUAACAAACUAACAAUUAACAAAGCAAUCAAACAGAGCAUUAGAGAAAAAUAAAAAAGGAACCGCAUUUGAUGUUUGAGGCGGUGAGUAAUCUUUGAAACCAAGUAUACAUGUUUGAUUCAGCUGCUGAUAAAGAAGAUGUCUCUCGAGAGAGUAGACGAAGUCUUGCACGAAUAAUACGAGUGAUUCCUUCUAACACAAUCAAUUCCAUACAACACAAUUACACUAACAGAAACGAUAACCAAAUUUGUAAAUAAUAUGAAACACAAUCAAUUACAUUAGGUUAUGAUAUUCAAAUCCAUUACAUAAUGUUUACUUAUAUGAAUUUGAUUAGUAAUUUUGUAGAGCAACAAAAAGGUUAUAAUUCCGUCCAAAAGAUGACAAACAUUUGAUGCUAGCGUAGUAGCAUUAACAAACAAGAAGAAGAUAGCCGUCGAAAGUAUCAGAACAGCUAAACUGAUAUAAUUGAGGGAUUAGACCUCAUUGUAUAGCUUUUGAACAGAAACAUGUCUUAAAUAAGUAACAUAAUCAAUUAAAAAGUAUAUCAAAUACAACGAAAUCUGUAUGGAAACAAACAAUACAAAAUAUAACAGGAUACAAUUAUACAAGUAUAAGUGUAUAGUCUUUACCCAAAAAAAAACAAGAACUAUGACUAUGAGACCAACCAUACGACAUGGUUUUUACUAAGGAAACAAUGAUGUAGACAGACAUAAGUGCAUCUCUGCAAAUAGACAAAUGGUAUAACGGUAAAACGGUACUUUAAGAUUGUGGGAUGGGCUUCAAAGUAGCUGGGCCUUCUCUUCGCUUAAGGAGUUCCGGGAACUUUUGGGAAUUCCGGCAACUUGGGAAGUUGAGGCAUCGUCGGUAGCUCUGGCUUUGGAAUCUCUGGAACUGCAGGUUUUGUAAUUUCUGGAACCUUGGGCAGUUCAGGUUUUGGAACUUCUGGAAUCUUCGGCAGUUCAGGCUUUGGAAUCUCUGGAAACUUAGGAGCCUCAGACUUUGGAACCUCUGGAACCGUUGGCAAUUCGGGCUUUGGAACCUCUGGCACCUUCGGCAACUCAGGCUUCUGAAUCUCCGGCAUCUUGGGCAACUCGGGUUUCUGAAUCUCCGGCAUCUUAGGUAACUCCGGCAUUUUGGGCAACUCCGGCUUCUGGAUCUCCGGUACCUUAGGAGCCUCAAGCUUGGGAACUUCUGGCAACUUUGGCAACUCAGGUUUCUGAAUCUCCGGCAUCUUAGGUAACUCCGGCAUUUUGGGCAACUCCGGCUUCUGGAUCUCUGGUACCUUAGGAGCCUCAAGCUUGGGAACUUCUGGCAACUUUGGCAACUCAGGCUUUGGAAUCUCUGGCACCUUAGGAGCCUCAGGCUUUUCAGUCUCCAUUAGCUUAGGCACCUCAGGCUUUGAAUUCUCUGGAAACUUUGGCAAAUCAGGCUUUGGAAUCUCUGGAAACUUUGGUAAUUCAGGCUUUGGAAUCUCCGGCAUUUUUGGUAACUCGGGCUUCUGAAUCUCCGGUACCUUUGGUAACUCAGGUUUUGGAAUCUCUGGCAUCUUUGGGAGCUCAGGUUUUGGAAUUUCCGGAAACUUGGGCAAUUCAAGCUUGGGAAUAUCUGGCAGUUUAGUUUCCUCAGGCUUUGGAAUCUCCGGUACCUUUGGUAACUCUGGCUUUGGAAUCUCCGGGAUCUUUGGCAACUCAGGCUUUGGAAAUUCGGGUAACUUGGGCAACUCUGGUUUAGGGAACUCCGGCAACUUGGGAACUUCGAAUUUAGGUAGCUCAGGCAAUUUUGGUAUCUCCGGUUUAGGAUCCUCCAAUAACCGGCGAGCACCGACUGAAA
RNAcentral lists this long non-coding RNA (2616 nucleotides) under Arabidopsis thaliana (thale cress). Its description in RNAcentral is "long non-coding RNA (ATHA_LNC000357)". The record is from RNAcentral. Lineage: Eukaryota; Viridiplantae; Streptophyta; Magnoliopsida; Brassicales; Brassicaceae.